RNAcentral lists this ribosomal RNA (195 nucleotides) under Triticum aestivum (bread wheat). Its description in RNAcentral is "partial small subunit ribosomal RNA". The record is from RNAcentral. Lineage: Eukaryota; Viridiplantae; Streptophyta; Magnoliopsida; Poales; Poaceae.
AUGUCGUCGCCAACCACAUCAUCCACGGCGUAUCUCCCCCAUGUCGUUGCUUCCUUGGCGGCGACUUCCACAACGGCACUAGCUGCAGCUUCUCCAGCUCUCGCUCGCGCUGUGGCUCUGUUCUUGCUCAGAGAUCCUCCCUGCAGAAGAGAGAUGACCAGUCGUAUCCCCCCCCCCCCGAGGUGCAUGCUCUAA